Molecule: ribosomal RNA, 139 nt
Filed under: uncultured bacterium
Lineage: Bacteria
Description: partial 16S ribosomal RNA
Rfam family: Bacterial small subunit ribosomal RNA
Source: RNAcentral
CCUACGGGAGGCAGCAGUGAGGAAUAUUGCGCAAUGGGCGAAAGCCAGACGCAGCAACGCCGCGUGGGCGAUGAAGGUCUUCGGAUCGUAAAGCCCUUUUCUAGGGGAAGAGGAAGGACGGUACUCAGGGAACAAGUGU